UGCGAACUCCUACGGGAGGCAGCAGUGGGGAAUAUUGGACAAUGGGGGCAACCCUGAUCCAGCAAUUCUGUGUGCACGAAGAAGGUUUUCGGAUCGUAAAGUGCUUUCAGCAGGGAGGAAGAAAGUGACUGUACCUGCAGAAGAAGCGACGGCUAAAUACGUGCCAGCAGCCGCGGUAAUACGUAUGUCGCGAGCGUUAUCCGGAAUUAUUGGGCAUAAAGGGCAUCUAGGCGGCCAGAUAAGUCCGAGGUGAAAACUGCCGGCUCAACCAGCAGCUUGCCUUGGAAACUACCUGGCUAGAGUAUUGGAGAGGUGGACGGAACUACACGAGUAGAGGUGAAAUUCGUAGAUAUGUGUAGGAAUGCCGAUGAUGAAGAUAGUUCACUGGACGAUAACUGACGCUGAAGUGCGAAAGCUAGGGGAGCGAACAGGAUUAGAUACCCUUGUAGUCCUAUC
Molecule: ribosomal RNA, 456 nt
Filed under: uncultured bacterium
Lineage: Bacteria
Description: bacterial SSU rRNA
Rfam family: Bacterial small subunit ribosomal RNA
Source: RNAcentral